Molecule: non-coding RNA, 92 nt
Organism: Mycena leptocephala
Lineage: Eukaryota; Fungi; Basidiomycota; Agaricomycetes; Agaricales; Mycenaceae
Source: the annotation of a GenBank genome assembly
GCCCUUGUGGAUUAUAGUAGAUCAUCUUCAUCCGAUGACAAAUAAUGGAACCGUUUAUGAAGAUGUUGUAGGUUCGAAUCCUACCGAGGGCA